RNAcentral lists this ribosomal RNA (301 nucleotides) under uncultured bacterium. RNAcentral's name for it is "partial 16S ribosomal RNA". It matches the Rfam family "Bacterial small subunit ribosomal RNA", at positions 509 to 808 of the family's 1533-position model. The record is from RNAcentral.
CAGUCGCCGCGGGAAUACAGAGGGUGCAAGCGUUAAUCGGAAUUACUGGGCGUAAAGCGCGCGUAGGUGGUUUGUUAAGUUGGAUGUGAAAUCCCCGGGCUCAACCUGGGAACUGCAUCCAAAACUGGCAAGCUAGAGUAUGGUAGAGGGUGGUGGAAUUUCCUGUGUAGCGGUGAAAUGCGUAGAUAUAGGAAGGAACACCAGUGGCGAAGGCGACCACCUGGACUGAUACUGACACUGAGGUGCGAAAGCGUGGGGAGCAAACAGGAUUAGAGACCCCCGUAGUCCCUGUCUCUUAACC